RNAcentral lists this ribosomal RNA (295 nucleotides) under uncultured bacterium. RNAcentral describes it as "partial 16S ribosomal RNA". It matches the Rfam family "Bacterial small subunit ribosomal RNA", at positions 500 to 792 of the family's 1533-position model. The record is from RNAcentral.
CCUACGGGGGGCAGCAGCCGCGGUAAUACGUAGGGGGCAAGCGUUAUCCGGAUUUACUGGGUGUAAAGGGAGCGUAGACGGUCCUGCAAGCCAGAUGUGAAAGCCCGGGGCUCAACCCCGGGACUGCAUUUGGAACUGUAAGGCUAGAGUGUCGGAGAGGCAGGCGGAAUUCCUAGUGUAGCGGUGAAAUGCGUAGAUAUUAGGAGGAACACCAGUGGCGAAGGCGGCCUGCUGGACGAUGACUGACGUUGAGGCUCGAAAGCGUGGGGGGCCAACAGGAUUAGAAACCCGGGUA